This 301-nucleotide ribosomal RNA is filed under the name uncultured bacterium. RNAcentral's name for it is "partial 16S ribosomal RNA". It matches the Rfam family "Bacterial small subunit ribosomal RNA", at positions 509 to 807 of the family's 1533-position model. The record is from RNAcentral.
CAGUCGCCACGGGAAUACGAAGGGGGCUAGCGUUGUUCGGAUUUACUGGGCGUAAAGCGCACGUAGGCGGAUCCUUAAGUCAGAGGUGAAAUCCCAAGGCUCAACCUUGGAACUGCCUUUGAUACUGGGGAUCUCGAGUUCGGGAGAGGUGAGUGGAACUGCGAGUGUAGAGGUGAAAUUCGUAGAUAUUCGCAAGAACACCAGUGGCGAAGGCGGCUCACUGGCCCGAUACUGACGCUGAGGUGCGAAAGCGUGGGGAGCAAACAGGAUUAGAUACCCGUGUAGUCCCUGUCUCUUAUAC